Chelonia mydas (Green sea turtle) is the source of this 4308-nucleotide RNA transcript. It is a transcript of the gene named sulfotransferase 1 family member D1, with no coding region annotated. Lineage: Eukaryota; Metazoa; Chordata; Testudines; Cheloniidae. The transcript has 10 exons. The record is from RefSeq and is a predicted model, not a curated record.
CACAGAGCUUGUAGGUGCAGAGAACAGGACCCCUCAGCUGGGUCCAUUUUCGGGGGCAGUGAGCCAGACAACCGUGGCUGGCUGGGUGACCAGGAGAGAGGAGCCGUGGCUGGCUGGGGACUAGCAGAGAGGCACCGUGGCUGGCCGGGGGCUAGCAGAGAGGAGCCGUGGCUGGCUGGGGACUAGCAGAGAGGAGCCGUGGCUGGCCGGGGAUUAGCAGAGAGGAGCCGUGGCUGGCUGGGGGCUAGCAGAGAGGAGCCGUGGCUGGCCGGGGGCUAGCAGAGAGGCACCGUGGCUGGCCGGGGACUAGCAGAGAGGAGCCGUGGCUGGCCGGGGACUAGCAGAGAGGAGCCGUGGCUGGCUGGGGACUAGCAGAGAGGAGCCGUGGCUGGCCGGGGUCUAGCAGAGAGGAGCCGUGGCUGGCCGGGGACUAGCAGAGAGGAGCCGUGGCUGGCCGGGGACUAGCAGAGAGGAGCCGUGGCUGGCCGGGGGCUAGGAGAGAGGCACCGUAGCUGGCCAGGGGCCAGCAGAGCGGAAUGAGCAGCUGGGGGUGGGGGGCAGCCAAAGCAAGUUCUCAGAGGGACCCCCCCUGUGAGUGGGGUGGGGUGGAGGGAGACUGGGGGGCACAGACAAGGAACUGGUGGUUGUAGGUCUCAGGAACAGGAGGCGGAUGUUCUGCCCCCGACACCCUGGUGUGGGCGUCCCGCUCACAGUGUUACGUGUAUGAAUCCGGCUUGUGGCAUUUUCCCUAAUUAACGCCGGGCGACGUCCCUCCUCUCGUUAAGAGUCUCUUUUCUACACUCAGACUCUGUGCGUGCAAGGGGGGGAAGUUUUACCUCUCAGCGGCGCCCGGGGUGGGCGGUAAUUGUCCCAGGUCACUGGGUGGGGGCUGGAGCCGGUUCUGGGUUGUGUCGGUGCAGAGGAACCCCUAGAUAUUGAACCCGGCCCGGGUGGCUGCCAGCUCCACCUGGCAGGAGGGUUACAAGUUCAGCCCCUCGUUGCGUGGCCAGCUGGACUGAAGGUAAAGGUUAUUUACUGAUCUUUGUGCAGGGAGAAAUCUCAGCUGCAAAGGACACGGCCAGCAGCUCCGACAGGAUCAGGCGGGACCCAGCCUGCGCCUUCAGCCAGGAAGCCCUGAGGCAGCACCCCCCCGAAUCCCACCUGCUCCCCCCGGCUAGGUCCCCCAGAAACCAGCCUGCUCCCCCCGGCUAGGACCCCCAGAAACCAGCCUGCUGCCCCUGGCUAGGAAUCCCCCAAGGGGUCCCUAUCCCUGAGCAGGGCUCCCCACCCCGCCCCUUGAAGCAGGUGCCAUGGCAGCGCCAAAGACCUACUCUAGGGUCUUGCAAGAAUCCCAGGACGUCUUCCACCGCUUCCCCCUCCAGCUGGUCCACGGGAUCCCGCUCAUGGAGCCCAUCGCCCAGCAGUGGGGCCCCAUCGAGGACUUCCAGGCCUGGCCUGACGACCUCCUCAUCUCCACCUACCCCAAGGCGGGGACCACGUGGAUGCAGGAGAUCGUGGACCUGAUCCUGGUCCGAGGGGACGUGGAAAAAGCCUGCCGAGCCCCGACCCACAUCCGGAUCCCCUUCCUGGAGAUCUGCUCUCCUCCCCCAGUGCCCUCAGGCGUGCAGCAGCUGGCGAAUGUUCCUCCCCCCCGAGUCAUCAAGACCCACCUGCCCUUCCAGCUGGUUCCCAAGUCCUUCUGGGAGAAUAGAUGCAAGGUGAUCUACGUGGCCCGAAAUGCCAAGGAUAACUUGGUCUCGUAUUACUUCUUUGACCAGAUGAACAAGACGCAGCCCGAGCCGGGGCCCUGGGAGCUCUAUCUGCAGAAGUUCAUGGAUGGGAAACUGGCCUGGGGCUCGUGGUAUGACCACGUCUGUGGAUACUGGGCUGAACGGGCCAAUCACCGCAUCCUCUACGUCUUCUAUGAGGACAUGAAAGAGGACCAGGCCCGGGAGAUCCGCAGGGUCAUGGACUUCUUGGAGGUGGAGCUGCCUCCAGGGGUGCUGGAGAAAAUCGUCCAGCAAACGUCCUUCCAGAUCAUGAAGGAGAACCCCAUGGCCAACUAUAGCAGUAUGCCCAGCGUCAUCUUUGACCAGACCGUCAGCCCCUUCAUGCGCAAGGGCGAGGUUGGCGACUGGAAGAACCAUUUCACCGUGGCGCAGAGCGAGGCAUUCGACGCCCAUUACCAGCGCCGCAUGGAGGGGACCGGCCUGCACUUCCGGACCCAGAUCUAGGGCCCGCCCCGCAGGUGCUGACAGCCCCCCCGCCCCCGGGAACAGCGCUGCAAUAAAAGUUUAUCUCCUGACCCUGGACAUUGUGAUACCUGGGAGGGCGUGUCCCAGAGGUGGGAGUGGGGCCUGGUGCCUCAGGAAACUUCCCCUUCAGCCCGAGACAGGAUGUGCCCACGAUGGCCCCCCCGCCUCCCUCCCCGAGUGUCCUCCCGUCGCCUGGGGCACAGGUGCUGCUUGGAGGGGGCAGACACCGCACUGCCGGCUGCUCCCUCAGGCUGGCUCUGACUCUCGCAGGCCUGGUCUCCGCUAGGAAUGUUCUCCGGCAUAGCGACAGCCCUCAGAGGUGUGAAAAUCUACACACUUGAGAGAUGCCGGUAUACCAACCUCAGCCCCAGCGUAGGCAGCGCUAGGUGGACGGACGAAUUCUCCAAGCGGCCUGGCUACUGCCUCUCGGGGAGGUGGAUGCCUACGCGGAUGGGCGAAGCCCUGGCGCACACAGCGUCUUCACUGACGCGCUGGUUAGAUAAGUCGGUGACGGCGCUCCUGGGCUCCGACGUGCUCCUGACGUGCAGCUUCCGCGCGGCCCCGUGCGGGGCGGGCGCGGGGCGGGCAGCUGCGGGUGACCUGGUACUUCCAGGGCCAGGCGCUGAUGGAGCUGGACGGCAUCACGGUCACCACGAGGAAGGGGGCAGAGUCUUUGCCCCGGAGCUGCCCAGGGGCAACGCUUCGCUCCUCCUGCCCCGCGUCACGCUGGCCGAGCAGGGCCCCUACCGCUGCUCCGUGCACUACGGGGGGCAGCGCGGAGAGGGCAGCGUCCGCUUACGGGUGGCAGGUAGCGUCACGCCCUGGCCUCGCCCCGUGCUCCCGGCCAGGUGGGGCUGCGGCACUGGGCCCCUGACGAGCUCGGCCCCGGCCCCGGGAUGGCUGCCAGGGUAACCAAAAGCCAACGAGUAACAGCCCAAUGUCCUGACAACAGGGCUCGGGCUGACUCGGGGGCCCUGGACCUCACACCCUGCUCUGUGAGCGCUCGCUCACCCUCAUCCUCUGCUCCAUGCACCCUUCAGGGGCUGGCCGGGCAACCCAGGCCUGCUCAGGGCCCCACAGUGCCCAGUAAACCCCCCAAAACACAAACCAACCUCUGCCCUCCUGGGGCUGGACCUUCCCCCACAGCCUGUUCCUCCAUUGGACCCUCCCUCCCUGGAGGGCAGAUCCUGCCUUUACCUCCCCACUGGGGCUUAUUCCCCCGGCGGCUGCUCCGUGGGGCUCCUGGCCUCUUACCGACUUCGCUACUCGGGAGAGGAGCCCAGAGCCGCCCCCAAACUCUCGAAUCCCAGACAAGAGCAGGGUUCCUCCCACAGCCCCUUCUGCUCCACACUUCCUGCCUCCAUAGGACCCGGCCCCUCUCCCCUCGAACUCAGCUUCAGCUGGGCCAGCCCUCCGCCAGGUGCAGCCAGGGCCGGAGGAGCAGCGCGGCCUCCUGGAGCCGGGGCUGAGGAUCCUGCUGUGGACGCUGCGAGGGGCUCUCCUGCUGGCCAUGGCGCUGGGGGGCUGGAGCUGUUACUGCUCUGGGAGGAGGCGUGGGCAGGUGCGGGAGUGGAUCUGGACCCCCCGACGCUGGAGAUCAGCUUGGGGCGCAGCCAGAGGACGCGGCAGAGGGACUGGCGGGGCCGUCCCUGCUGCGCGGCUAGAGAAGGGGAUCCCAGUGAGCACGGCCCAUGGAGCUGCCUGUGCAUCGCGCCUCGCUCUCACCGGGGGCCCCCGGCCGAACUGCUGAUGGGUCCAUCCCUGCGUCUGUCAGUCCUGCCUCCCCAGCGAGGUCUCAGCAGCAUCCCCGCUCCCCAAGAUCUGGGUGUCAAUAAAAGCUGCCCAUCCCCCUUCCUGUGCGGCAGACACAAGACGCCCCUGUAUCUCCCUCUGGCGCUUUCAUGCAAACCCUCAGAUUCAGCCCCACAGGGCCUUGCUCCGGCCCCUCACUCCUGAGUGUGGCUGGAAUGUGGUUCCCCCCUCACUCUGGCCCCACACAAAUGGCUGGCCAGUGCCCAGACCAGAGCAAUAAACUGUCUCUCUGGACUCCGUG